This 494-nucleotide ribosomal RNA is filed under the name uncultured bacterium. Its description in RNAcentral is "partial 16S ribosomal RNA". It matches the Rfam family "Bacterial small subunit ribosomal RNA", at positions 28 to 507 of the family's 1533-position model. The record is from RNAcentral.
GACGAACGCUGGCGGCGUGCUUAACACAUGCAAGUCGAACGGUGAAGCGCCUUCCUUUUUGGUGGGUGUGGAUGAGUGGCGAACGGGUGAGUAACACGUGAGUAACCUGCCCCCUUCUUCUGGAUAACCGCAUGAAAGUGUGGCUAAUACGGGAUAUUCUGGGUCUGUCGCAUGAUGGGUCUGGGAAAGAUAUUGUUUCGGUGGGGGAUGGGCUCGCGGCCUAUCAGCUUGUUGGUGGGGUGAUGGCCUACCAAGGCGGUGACGGGUAGCCGGCCUGAGAGGGUGGACGGUCACACUGGGACUGAGACACGGCACAGACUCCUACGGGAGGCAGCAGUGGGGAAUAUUGCACAAGGGGAGCAAGCCUGAUGCAGCGACGCCGCGUGAGGGAUGGAGGCCUGCGGGUUGUGAACCUCUUUCGCCAGUGAAGCAGGCCUGCCUCGUUUGUGGGUGGGUUGACGGUAGCUGGAUAAGAAGCGCCGGCUAACUACGUG